AGCAGCCGCGGUAAUUCCAGCUCCAAUAGCGUAUAUUAAAGUUGUUGCAGUUAAAAAGCUCGUAGUUGAAUUUCGGGAUCAAUAUGCUGGUCGUGCCAUUGGUACGUACUAGUAUUAUUGGUUUCUUCCUUCUGAUGAAUCAUGAUGUCAUUAAGUUGAUGUCAUGGGGAAUCAGGACUGUUACUUUGAAAAAUUAGAGUGUUUAAAGCAGGCUCGCGCUUGAAUACAUUAGCAUGGAAUAAUGAAAUAGGACGUUUGAUUCUAUUUUGUUGGUUUCUAGGAUUGACGUAAUGAUUAAUAGGGAUAGUUGGGGGCAUUAGUAUUCAAUUGUCAGAGGUGAAAUUCUCGGAUUUAUUGAAGACUAACUACUGCGAAAGCAUUUGCCAAGGAUGUUUUCAUUAAUCAAGAACGAAAGUUAGGGGAUCGAAGACGAUCAGAUACCGUCGUAGU
This 450-nucleotide ribosomal RNA is filed under the name uncultured Glomus. RNAcentral's name for it is "SSU rRNA". It matches the Rfam family "Eukaryotic small subunit ribosomal RNA", at positions 569 to 1024 of the family's 1831-position model. The record is from RNAcentral. Lineage: Eukaryota; Fungi; Glomeromycota; Glomeromycetes; Glomerales; Glomeraceae.